Molecule: ribosomal RNA, 472 nt
Filed under: uncultured bacterium
Lineage: Bacteria
Description: bacterial SSU rRNA
Rfam family: Bacterial small subunit ribosomal RNA
Source: RNAcentral
CGCUAUCACUCCUACGGGAGGCAGCAGUGGGGAAUAUUGCACAAUGGGGGAAACCCUGAUGCAGCCAUGCCGCGUGUGUGAAGAAGGCCUUCGGGUUGUAAAGCACUUUCAGUAGGGAGGAAGGUAGUGUAGUUAACACCUGCAUUAUUUGACGUUACCUACAGAAGAAGCACCGGCUAACUCCGUGCCAGCAGCCGCGGUAAUACGGAGGGUGCGAGCGUUAAUCGGAAUUACUGGGCGUAAAGCGCAUGCAGGCGGCCUGUUAAGUCAGAUGUGAAAGCCCGGGGCUUAACCUCGGAAUUGCAUUUGAAACUGGCAGGCUAGAGUCUUGUAGAGGGGGUAGAAUUUCAGGUGUAGCGGUGAAAUGCGUAGAGAUCUGAAGGAAUACCAGUGGCGAAGGCGGCCCCCUGGACAAGGACUGACGCUCAGAUGCGAAAGCGUGGGGAGCAAACAGGAUUAGAUACCCUGGUAG